CCUGUGCCCCCCACCUUAAAAUAAUCUGGAUCCGCCCCUGCGUUUAUGUGAUGAUUCUGGUAUCCAUGGAAAGUCUCUUAAACCUGAGCUGUCUGGCUGAAAGAGCAUCCUGAGGUGUAAGAAGAUGAGAAGCAGAGGCGGGAAUCAAAUGACCAACUUCUCUGCUUUCACCUGGACUCAGAGCUGGAGCUGUGAAAGAAAGCUUUGUCCCCCAAACCCUUCAUCGCCUCUGGAGAGCAUGCUGCGUCAUCAGGAUGGAAACCUCAUGGCAAUGUUUCAAAGGGAAUCCUUUGUUGGUUAUCACUGAUAAUUUAUGGUAAUGACUCAUCACAUGACAAAGUGGAAAAUAAUGUAGGUUGUUAGGAGUGAAAUGUCACCCAAAUCAGCAGCCUACAACCCCCAAUGUUCAAGUCUGAGUCAGAUUUUUUUUUAAAAAGGAGAAUCCCAGUCGAGUUCAAGUCCAGUCCCCAUCAAUUGUGCCCCUGUUUUCUCCUUA
This is a long non-coding RNA of Notolabrus celidotus (New Zealand spotty), 496 nucleotides long. RefSeq lists it as uncharacterized. Lineage: Eukaryota; Metazoa; Chordata; Actinopteri; Labriformes; Labridae. The transcript has 4 exons. The record is from RefSeq and is a predicted model, not a curated record.